RNAcentral lists this transfer RNA (75 nucleotides) under Syntrophomonadaceae bacterium. Its description in RNAcentral is "tRNA-Thr". It matches the Rfam family "tRNA". From Rfam's summary of the family: Transfer RNA (tRNA) molecules are approximately 80 nucleotides in length. Their secondary structure includes four short double-helical elements and three loops (D, anti-codon, and T loops). Lineage: Bacteria; Bacillati; Bacillota; Clostridia; Eubacteriales; Syntrophomonadaceae. The record is from RNAcentral.
GCCGAUGUGGCUCAGUGGUAGAGCAGCUGAUUCGUAAUCAGCAGAUCGUCGGUUCGAAUCCGACCAUCGGCUCCA